Molecule: ribosomal RNA, 439 nt
Filed under: uncultured bacterium
Lineage: Bacteria
Description: partial 16S ribosomal RNA
Rfam family: Bacterial small subunit ribosomal RNA
Source: RNAcentral
CUACGGGUUGCAGCAGUGAGGAAUAUUGCACAAUGGAGGAAACUCUGAUGCAGCAACGCCGCGUGGAGGAUGACGCAUUUCGGUGUGUAAACUCCUUUUAUAUGUCAAGAAAAUGACGGUAGCAUAUGAAUAAGCUCCGGCUAACUCCGUGCCAGCAGCCGCGGUAAUACGGAGGGAGCAAGCGUUACUCGGAAUCACUGGGCGUAAAGGACGCGUAGGCGGGAUAGAAAGUCAGGUGUGAAAUCCUAUGGCUCAACCAUAGAACUGCACUUGAAACUUCUAACCUAGAGUAUGGGAGGGGAAGAUGGAAUUAGUGGUGUAGGGGUAACAUCCGUAGAUAUCACUAGGAAUACCAAAAGCGAAGGCGAUCUUCUGGAACAAUACUGACGCUAAGGCGUGAAAGCGUGGGGAGCAAACAGGAUUAGAUACCCGGGUAGUC